GACGAACGCUGGCGGCGUGCUUAACACAUGCAAGUCGAGCGGUAAGGCUCCUUCGGGAGUACACGAGCGGCGAACGGGCGAGUAACACGUGAGUAAUCUGCCCUUCACUUCGUGAUAACCACCGGAAACGGUGGCUAAUACCGAAUACGACCAGUCUCCGACUGCGUUGUUGGUGGAAAGCCUUUUCGGCGAAGGAUGUGCUCGUGGCCUAUCAGCUUGUUGUUGGGGUAAUGGUCUACCAAGGCUUCGACGGGUGGCCGGCCUGAGGGGGGGACCGGCCACACUGGGACUGAGACACGGCACAGACUCCUACGGGAGGCAGCGGUGGGGAAUAUUGGACAAUGGGCGAAAGCCUGAGCCAGCAACGCCGCGUGAGGGAUGACGGCGUUCGGGUUGUAAACCUCGUUCAGUACCGACGAAGCGCCCUGUCGGGUGGUGACGGUAGGUACAGAAGAAGGACCGGCCAACUACGUG
This 474-nucleotide ribosomal RNA is filed under the name uncultured bacterium. RNAcentral describes it as "partial 16S ribosomal RNA". It matches the Rfam family "Bacterial small subunit ribosomal RNA", at positions 28 to 507 of the family's 1533-position model. The record is from RNAcentral.